AUUGAACGCUGGCGGUAGGCUUAACACAUGCAAGUCGAACGGUAGCAGCUCUAGCUUGCUAGAGGCUGACGAGUGGCGGACGGGUGAGUAACGCGUAGGAAUCUACCUAAUAGUGGGGGACAACCUGGUGAAAACCAGGCUAAUACCGCAUACGCCUACGGGGAAGGACGGGGAGUCUUCGGACCUCGCGCUAUUAGAUGAGCCUGCGUUAGAUUAGCUAGUUGGUGGGGUAAAGGCUCACCAAGGCGACGAUCUAUAGCUGGUCUGAGAGGAUGAUCAGCCACACUGGGACUGAGACACGGCCCAGACUCCUACGGGAGGCAGCAGUGGGGAAUAUUGCGCAAUGGGCGAAAGCCUGACGCAGCCAUACCGCGUGUGU
This 379-nucleotide ribosomal RNA is filed under the name uncultured bacterium. RNAcentral describes it as "bacterial SSU rRNA". It matches the Rfam family "Bacterial small subunit ribosomal RNA", at positions 30 to 406 of the family's 1533-position model. The record is from RNAcentral.